Molecule: transfer RNA, 77 nt
Filed under: Terriglobia bacterium
Lineage: Bacteria; Pseudomonadati; Acidobacteriota; Terriglobia
Description: tRNA-Val
Rfam family: tRNA
About the family: Transfer RNA (tRNA) molecules are approximately 80 nucleotides in length. Their secondary structure includes four short double-helical elements and three loops (D, anti-codon, and T loops).
Source: RNAcentral
GGGCGGUUAGCUCAGUUGGUUAGAGCGUCUGCCUUACAAGCAGAAGGUUGUUGGUUCGAGUCCAGCACCGCCCACCA